AACGAACGCUGGCGGCAGGCCUAACACAUGCAAGUCGAGCGCCCAUUCGGGGGAGCGGCGGACGGGUGAGUAACGCGUGGGAAUAUGCCCUUAUCUACGGAAUCGCCUCGGGAAACUGAGAGUAAUACCGUAUACGCCAUGUGGGGGGAAGAUUUAUCGGGGAAGGAUUAGCACGCGUUGGAUUAGGUAGUUGGUGGGGUAAUGGCCUACCAAGCCGACGAGCCAUAGCUGGUUUGAGAGGAUGGUCAGCCACACUGGGACUGAGACCCGGCCCCGACUCCUACGCGAUGCAGCAAAGGCGAAUCUUAGACCAUGGGGGCAACCCUGAUCUAGCCGUGCCGCGUAAGUGAUGAAUGCCGUAGAGUUGUAAAGCUCUUUCAGCUCGGCAUAUAGUGACGGUACCAGCAGAGAAAGCCCCGGCUAACUCCGUG
RNAcentral lists this ribosomal RNA (431 nucleotides) under uncultured bacterium. RNAcentral describes it as "partial 16S ribosomal RNA". It matches the Rfam family "Bacterial small subunit ribosomal RNA", at positions 29 to 507 of the family's 1533-position model. The record is from RNAcentral.